UAAAGUUGGAGGCAGCAUCCAUGUUCACUGCCCCCUCUGACUUUGCUGUCUCCAGUACUAGGGAUAUUGAUAUAAAAUGGACAAACUUCUCUUAGGCCUUUCUCUUCUCUGCCUCACAUGGACUAUGUCUGGGGGAUGGUGUACAAAGUGUCCAAAAAGAUCCAUGACAAUCACUGGCACAAGGGGUCCCAGGUCCACUUUGAAGUUGGAUCCUUCUCAUGGUUUCAACAAGGAAGAAGAAUAUCUCCUGGAAAAGACAGGGUAGUCUCAGAUGGAAAUGGUUCAAAGAAUGGGCCUUCAGAUUCUUUCCCCAUCUCUGAAAGCAUUUUAGCUAAUAGAAACUUCCAUUACAAGCAGAGCCAAGCUUAACGUUUGCACCUUGUUUUCUAUUAUUCCAACAGCUUCUCAGAAUCUGAAAUGUAAAACUUGUUAGCAUGUUUUUUCCAAAAGGAGAUUGCGUUAGUGGACUUAGCACCUGUACUGCAAAAAUAAAUGAGACCUGUUCAACUGAGAGAA
Long non-coding RNA from Antechinus flavipes (yellow-footed antechinus), 516 nucleotides. RefSeq lists it as uncharacterized. Lineage: Eukaryota; Metazoa; Chordata; Mammalia; Dasyuromorphia; Dasyuridae. The record is from RefSeq and is a predicted model, not a curated record. The transcript has 2 exons.